This 496-nucleotide ribosomal RNA is filed under the name uncultured bacterium. RNAcentral describes it as "partial 16S ribosomal RNA". It matches the Rfam family "Bacterial small subunit ribosomal RNA", at positions 28 to 506 of the family's 1533-position model. The record is from RNAcentral.
GAUGAACGCUGGCGGCGUGCCUAAUACAUGCAAGUCGAGCGAACGGACGAGAAGCUUGCUUCUCUGAUGUUAGCGGCGGACGGGUGAGUAACACGUGGAUAACCUACCUAUAAGACUGGGAUAACUUCGGGAAACCGGAGCUAAUACCGGAUGAUAUUUUGAACCGCAUGGUUCAAAAGUGAAAGACGGUCUUGCUGUCACUUAUAGAUGGAUCCGCGCUGCAUUAGCUAGUUGGUAAGGUAACGGCUUACCAAGGCAACGAUGCAUAGCCGACCUGAGAGGGUGAUCGGCCACACUGGAACUGAGACACGGUCCAGACUCCUACGGGAGGCAGCAGUAGGGAAUCUUCCGCAAUGGGCGAAAGCCUGACGGAGCAACGCCGCGUGAGUGAUGAAGGUCUUCGGCUCGUAAAACUCUGUUAUUAGGGAAGAACAUAUGUGUAAGUAACUGUGCACAUCUUGACGGUACCUAAUCAGAAAGCCACGGCUAACUACGU